AGAUUGAACGCUGGCGGCGUGCUUAACACAUGCAAGUCGAGCGGUAACAGGUGUAGCAAUACAUGCUGACGAGCGGCGAACGGGUGAGUAAUGCUUCGGAAUCUACCUAGUAGUGGGGAACAACUAACCGAAAGGUUAGCUAAUGCCGCAUACGACCUAUGGGUGAAAGCGGGGGAUCGCAAGACCUCGCGCUAUUAGAUGAGCCGAAGUCGGAUUAGCUAGUUGGUAGGGUAACGGCCUACCAAGGCGACGAUCCGUAGCUGGUCUGAGAGGACGACCAGCCACACUGGAACUGAGACACGGUCCAGACACCUACGGGUGGCAGCAGUCGAGAAUUUUUCACAAUGGACGAAAGUCUGAUGGAGCGACGCCGCGUGGAGGAUGAAGGUUCUUGGAUUGUAAACUCCUGUCACUGCAGAACAAGGAUACGCCUAUGAAUAGUAUGCGUAUUUGAUGGUAUGCGGAGGAGGAGGGACGG
RNAcentral lists this ribosomal RNA (478 nucleotides) under uncultured bacterium. Its description in RNAcentral is "SSU rRNA". It matches the Rfam family "Bacterial small subunit ribosomal RNA", at positions 26 to 496 of the family's 1533-position model. The record is from RNAcentral.